CUCUCCUAGGUUAGGCCUUUAGGCUACCCAUACUCCCCACGCAGAGAAACUGGGGCUGAGGAGGUCUCCCAGUUCCACAGCUAGGCACACCUCUGCAUGCUUGGUGGCUGCCCAUGGGAUUCUCCCUUGGUGCUGGUGUUUUUGCCUGCCAUUGUGGGACCUGUAGGUGGGUCUGCCUGGUUUGUGUAUGUUGUUCCCGUCUA
RNAcentral lists this long non-coding RNA (203 nucleotides) under Homo sapiens (human). Its description in RNAcentral is "non-protein coding lnc-TMEM161B-5:1". Lineage: Eukaryota; Metazoa; Chordata; Mammalia; Primates; Hominidae. The record is from RNAcentral.